RNAcentral lists this long non-coding RNA (3413 nucleotides) under Sus scrofa (pig). Its description in RNAcentral is "lncRNA (ENSSSCG00000054673.1)". Lineage: Eukaryota; Metazoa; Chordata; Mammalia; Artiodactyla; Suidae. The record is from RNAcentral.
UUUGUUGUUGUUGUUGCUAUUUCUUGGGCCGCUCCCGCGGCAUAUGGAGGUUCCCAGGCGAGGGGUCGAAUCAGAGCUGUAGCCACUUCCGAGCCGCGUCUGCAACCUACACCACAGCUCACGGCAACGUCGGAUCGUUAACCCACUGAGCAAGGGCAGGGACCGAACCCGCAACCUCAUGGUUCCUAGUCGGAUUCGUUAACCACUGCGCCACAACAGGAACUCCUGGUAUUUUCUUUUUAAGGUCCUACAAAUGGUAGCAAACAUACUAAUACAGAAAAAAUUCUAAUGAAUGCUUAAAAAAAAGAAAAAAAAGAUAACUAAGUAAACUUCAAGAGCUGCAAAUAAAAACACAAAAACUGAUACAGGCACAGGCUCAGAAAAGUGGAUGCCCUAAUGCUUGCACACAGCUGCACCACCCACGGAAGCAUCAAAAGUGAAGUUAACCACACACCUUUAACAAGGCAGAAGCAGCCACCAAGAGCAGAGCAGAUGGGGGCAUGUCAGGUGGGGCAGCUGCUUCAAGCCAGGGGCGGAUGGUGGCAGGUGGUGGGGGGCAAGGAGAGAGAGAGACAGGGAGGGCAAGAGAGAAAGGAAGGCUGGGAGGGAGAGAGGAAAAUGAAAAAAACAAAGAGGAAAAAACUAAAUUCCAUAAAGAAAUAUUAUAGCAUAUGGCAAAACCAACACAGGGCAAGGCGUUAACAGAUUUGAGGUUCUAGUUCUAGGUCUAUUAUAUUGUAUUAAAGUUGAUUUUAGAAUGCAUGUAUUUUACAUAUACUUUGUAUAAAACACAGAGGUUUAUCAUGCCUUGUAUAACUGAUCUUAUGAGUAAAAAGACUGAUAAAUAAAAAUCAAUGAACCACUCAGUUUCGAAUACAAAGGUAUCUGAGAACUAGUGAACACCGGGAUCAGUGGCAACCAUAAAAGGAGGAAGCUGUCAGUUUGUUCAAAAAUCACAUAUAAUAUAUAGCAAAACUACAACUGCCCAAGUAACCAGAGCAUUAAAAAUGAAAUCAUGAAAGCAGAGACUUCAGUUGCUGUUUUUCUAUAUUUCUCCAGCACCUAAAAAGUGUCUAGUGGUUUCAAGUAGGCAUUCAAACACUUGCUGAAUAUAUAUACUCCCCAACUAACACACUGUAAUCUCACAGUCCCUGCCUAAUACUUACUGACUUUAUGACUCAAGUUCACAUUAACCAGUACUUUUUAAACUCUGUGAGAUCACAAGUUGAAUAAAAUUCUAUCCUUUUUAAUAAUCAUAUUCUAAUUUCUCUGAACUCUUUUGAAAAGAUGAGAAAUUAUCAAAUAAAGAAGAGUUUAUGACUUAAGCCAUCUGAGUGAUAUAUUAAUCACAAGUGCUUACAGUUUAUAAAAGUAAAAACUGAAAGUUGUAAUGUUUUUCUACUGUAAGUUGCAGUCACAAAGAUGUGCUACGGUUCUUCCCCAAAAUAUUUACUAUAUAAAAUUUUUCAAUACCAACAAAGACAAGUUAGCUAAGAACAGAUGUUGAUGAUUAUAUCAUAUGAUGUUACAGAUUACCCAUAUAUUUUAAGUUCUGGACACAUUGUAUCAAUGUGAUACUUAAAACCAUUAAUUACUACACAGAUGUCAUGUAUCAACUACAAAAGAUUACAAUCAGAGAGAAAUCUUCAAGUCGGAAGUAUUUCUAAGAUAGGGGACAACUUUUAAGAGAAAGAUAGAAUAAUAGAUACCGAGUAAAAAAGAAGAACCGCUGUAAUUAGCUGACUCCUGUCAGAACUGCACUGAGACAGGUGUAAACAAUCUGUUAAGAAAGUUCCAAAGCAGAAGUCAUGUCUUACUGAAGAUGACUCUGGAAAGACUUUAUGACAAAAGAAACAAGGACCAUGACAAUUUCUGCCUACCCAUUCUAUCUCCGACUCUGAAUAACAGUGCACUGAACACAGAAUAUUAUCAAUAUUUAUUGGCUGAAUAAACAAACACUGAGGGACUGAGAGGACCCACUAGCAUGAGAGAAGCAUGUAAGGAAAAGAAUAAAGACGGAAAAAAGGUGUGUUCAAAAAACAAGGAACAGCCUAAUUUUGCUAGAAUAUAUUUAAAACAAUCAGAAAACCAGCAGGAGUUUGUGUGCACUAUGAACCUCGUAACAAAGUUAAAUUUUAUUUGGUAUAAAUGGGAAAUAAUAGAAGUUUUACGAAGGAAACUAGCAUAAGAGAGUACAAGAUGAGUGACAAGAUCAUUGCCUCCUCUAGCCCAAAUGAUUUAGAUCCGAACCAAUGUGGUAGCAACAAGAAUGGAAAGAAUGGGGAAAAGGUCAAAUGUAAUUCUAGGAAUUUGAGUUUGGUUAAUCAAAAAACAGUAAUCCAGAAACAGCAGUAAAAUUAAAAGAAAUAUAAAGUCAAAAAAAAAAAAAAAAAAGAUGGCUAAGAGGGAAUCAUGUAAAGAAAAUGACAUUAUUGAGCAUGCAUUCCUUGGCCAAGCAUUUCAAAUACAUAUUUUACUUAGUCUUCACAACCCCGUGAGGUAGUUAGUUAUACUCCCAUUUUAGAAAUGAGGCAAAAGAGGUCAAGGUUCUUCCCCAACGCUCACAAAGGUAAUGAGUUAUGUGUCAUUCCCUCCCUUCUUCCUUCCUAAGAAAACCUCUUUUCAUUCAAAUACAGAGCAGCAACUGCGCAGGAAGGCGGGCCCCUCCCCUAGCCCCGGGACAAUGAAACUUGACUAUUCUAAACAAGGGAAAUCCCAUUUCCAUUGUGCGGUAACCGCCUGACCUAUGAGACAGGAGAAGAAAUAUGUUGAGGGCUUUGGGAAAGACCUUCCUACCUGCAUUAGCAUCACAGAUGUCAGGAGGAAUCUCGAAGCCACCAAUCUAAGAGCUACCCUGGAUUCCUCCGUUUCUUUCAUGCCUGUUUCCCCAUCCCUGUGCAAGUCAAAUCAAUUCUAGUUCCAAAAUAUCUUAAUAACCCUUCCUUUUCUCCUAUCAUUCUUGUCCAAGCUCCAGUAACUGCUCUCCUGGGCAAUCUCCCCAUGGCCACUCCUGCUCCCAACAACCCAUUCCCCAGAGAGCAACCAAAGGAAUCUUUAAAAUGUGAAUCAUGGUUAAACCAAUAAUCAUGAUUCCAAGGAGAAUAAAAAAAAAAAGAUGAUGAUGCUCAAAUGAACUCUAGGGGUAGGAUAAAAUCAUUUUAGAAACUACAAAAUAAAAUAAAAUAACCUUAAGUUGUGACAUAAGCUAGUCACAAUAUGACAAAUACUUAUAAUUCCAAUUACAUGAGUUAUCUGAAGUAGUCAAAUUCAUAGAGAAAAGUAGGAUGGUAGUAAACAUGCUUAACACUACUGAACUGUAGCCUUAAAAAUGUUAAGAUAGUAAAUUUUAUAUUAUGUGCAUUUUUCAUCACAUAAAACCACACACAAAGGCAAAAAAAAAAAAAAAAAAAAAA